This 67-nucleotide transfer RNA is filed under the name Mythimna pallidicosta. Its description in RNAcentral is "tRNA-Glu". The record is from RNAcentral. Lineage: Eukaryota; Metazoa; Arthropoda; Insecta; Lepidoptera; Noctuidae.
AUUUAUAUAGUUUAAAUUAAAACUUUACAUUUUCAUUGUAAAAAUAAAAUAUUUAUUUUUAUAAAUA